GUCAAUUAGUUUGGCGAGGUUUAGGGAUGGAUUUUGGUGUGGCUUCGGGUUAGGCGUGCCAUAUGCUUGAUGAUUUUAGCGUCGCACCUGUUGCUUAAUGUGAGCUUGUUAUCCCUGGUGUACAGAGGGAUACGUGUAUGGCUGAAAUGGGUGCCAUGUUUUUCUUUUUUCAGCUCAAACUCAUUUUUCCUUUCUUCCUGUAUAGAGUCCUUUCUCUCUGUCUUUUUUCCUCUAUGGGACGACACGGGUAGGCUUUAGGAUUGUAAUUUUCUUUGUACGAAGAGGAAGAAGAAAAAGAAAGUGCACUUUUUGGAAGUUCUGACGGAUCCAAGAGAAGAUAGGAAAGAGUUCAAGAAAUAGCUACUGAAGAUUCUUGCUAGAAAUUUACAAAACAAAAAUAAAAAUCUGAACUUUUCUUUGAAGUUUUUGGUUUUUUAUUUUUGGGUAUUUUAGCUAUUAUUUAGCUGAUUUGAUUAUGGGUUUUGAUGAAUGCAAAGUUUAGGUAUUGGGAGAAUGUGGGAAUUAGAAAUUUUGUUUAAAUCUGAGUCUUUUUUUUUCCUUUGUUUUCUUUGCUCUCCUUUGUCCCUUUCUUUCCUCUUUUUUUCUCUUUGCUACCAUGAGCCGCAAAGGUGGUGGCAGCGGCGGUGGAAGACGUAGAGGUGAGGAGUCAGGGGUUUUGAUCCCAGACAAUGCAAAGAAAACAAUCUAAAGGGAGAUCACAGGGAAGAAACUGAACGAUGAAAAAAUCUAUGCAGUGCUCAAAAAGUGCUCUGUGGAUCUUAAUGAAACUACUUAAAAGGUUCUUUAUCUGGGUAAUAAUUGCACCACGGUAAUAUUCAAGCCUCCAAGGACUGCUACUUACAUCAUUCGAACAACAUUAGGUGCUCGAUCCAUGUUGAAGAUGCUCCUUGAUGCUGCCGGAGGUAUUGUUAUUACUAUUGAUGGAAAUGCCAUUUUACGUGAGUUAGAUCUUGCACACCCAGCAGCAAAGGCACAAUAUCCCACCAUGCUUCUUUAUUUCAUUUUCUUCAGAUGUGAAUGCUUUUAUUUUUUUCCCCUUAUCUUUAUGAUUUCCAUUCUUUCUUGUUCUACUCUGUGUUGAUUUGUCAUGGCAAUCUAUAAUUGAAUUGAGUCGCAAACGCAAGAUGAAGAAGUUGGAAAUGGAACAACAUCUGUCAUUGUUCUUGGUAUAUGUUUAUGCAGCAGAAUGAUCAUUUAUAGUCUAUGGUGGAUAUUCUUCGCAUACAUUAGUUUAGAUUGCUAUGUUAAAACAUGCUUUUGAGAACUGGUAUAAUUUAAGAUGCUAAAUUGAUUUUUAAUGAGGUAAGCUUCAAGGUGGGAAUUUAACCUUUCAAAUGUGGAUGUAAUAUCAUUAAGGUUGCUUAGGGAUCAUGCCGUUGUCACUUAUUUUUCUCUUUUGUGAUGAUAUACUUUGCAUGAUAUUGCAUGGCUUUCAGUGCUUAUGUUUGGAGUAUUUUGGGUGUAGCUAGUGAGAUGCUUCAUGUUGCAAAAGCCUUUAUCGACAAAAAUUAUCAUCUUACAGUGAC
Molecule: long non-coding RNA, 1547 nt
Organism: Theobroma cacao (cacao)
Lineage: Eukaryota; Viridiplantae; Streptophyta; Magnoliopsida; Malvales; Malvaceae
Source: RefSeq, a predicted model, not a curated record